GGCUCAGGAUGAACGCUAGCUACAGGCUUAACNCAUGCAAGUCAGGGCAGCACAAGGCAGCAAUGCUGAGGUGGCGACCGGCGCACGGGUGCGUAACGCGUAUCCAACCUUCCCGUUACUCUUGGAUAGCCUUCCGAAAGGGAGAUUUAAUACAAGAUGGUGUUGAAAUUCCGCAUGUUAUUUCAACUAAAGAUUUAUCGGUAACGGAUGGGGGAUGCGUGACAUUAGAUAGAUGGCGGGUAACGGCCCACCAUGUCCACGAUGUCUAGGGGUUCUGAGAGGAAGGUCCCCCACACUGGAACUGAGACACGGUCCAGACUCCUACGGGAGGCAGCAGUGAGGAAUAUUGGUCAAUGGCCGGAAGGCUGAACCAGCCAAGUAGCGUGAAGGAUGAAGGUUCUAUGGAUUGUAAACUUCUUUUAUGAGGGAAUAAAACCUCCCACGUGUGGGAGCUUGUAUGUACCUUAUGAAUAAGCAUCGGCUAACUCCGUG
RNAcentral lists this ribosomal RNA (492 nucleotides) under uncultured bacterium. RNAcentral describes it as "bacterial SSU rRNA". It matches the Rfam family "Bacterial small subunit ribosomal RNA", at positions 21 to 507 of the family's 1533-position model. The record is from RNAcentral.